Molecule: ribosomal RNA, 470 nt
Filed under: uncultured bacterium
Lineage: Bacteria
Description: bacterial SSU rRNA
Rfam family: Bacterial small subunit ribosomal RNA
Source: RNAcentral
ACGAACGCUGGCGGCGCGCCUUAUGCAUGCAAGUCGAACGAGAACUAGAUCAUUCGUAAGAUUGAUCUAGGGACAGUGGCGAACGGGUGCGUAACACGUGAGAAACCUGCCCUGGAGAUCGGGAUAGCCCGAGGAAACUCGGAUUAAUACCGAAUAUGCUCACAGGACCGCAUGGUCUAGUGAGGAAACAGUCCGCUGCUCCAGGAUGGUCUCGCGGCCUAUCAGCUUGUUGGUGAGGUAACGGCUCACCAAGGCUCUGACGGGUAGCUGGUCUGAGAGGACGAUCAGCCACACUGGGACUGAGACACGGCCCAGACUCCUACGGGAGGCAGCAGCAGGGAAUAUUGCACAAUGGGCGAAAGCCUGAUGCAGCGACGCCGCGUGCGGGAUGAAGGCCUUCGGGUUGUAAACCGCUUUCAGGAGGGACGAAAAUGACGGUACCUCCAGAAGAAGGCCCGGCCAACUACGUG